Molecule: ribosomal RNA, 467 nt
Filed under: uncultured bacterium
Lineage: Bacteria
Description: bacterial SSU rRNA
Rfam family: Bacterial small subunit ribosomal RNA
Source: RNAcentral
ACUCCUACGGGAGGCAGCAGUGAGGAAUAUUGGACAAUGGAGGCAACUCUGAUCCAGCCAUGCCGCGUGCAGGAAGACUGCCCUAUGGGUUGUAAACUGCUUUUAUACAGGAAGAAACACCUCUACGUGUAGAGAUUUGACGGUACUGUAAGAAUAAGGAUCGGCUAACUCCGUGCCAGCAGCCGCGGUAAUACGGAGGAUCCAAGCGUUAUCCGGAAUCAUUGGGUUUAAAGGGUCCGUAGGUGGAUAAUUAAGUCAGAGGUGAAAUCCUGCAGCUUAACUGUAGAAUUGCCUUUGAUACUGGUUGUCUUGAGUUAUUAUGAAGUGGUUAGAAUAUGUAGUGUAGCGGUGAAAUGCAUAGAUAUUACAUAGAAUACCAAUUGCGAAGGCAGAUCACUAAUAAUAUACUGACACUGAUGGACGAAAGCGUGGGGAGCGAACAGGAUUAGAUACCCUGGUAGCUACGA